CAGUUGUUGCUGCAUUUGAAAAUAUUGUUGACAUGAAGGUUCGUUGUUCCAAUAGCAUCGGCUAUCCCUCAGGAUCUGCAAAAAUCUCUGCUGGAUGGGAACGUCAAGGGCCUUGACUGAGCAACACAAGCUAAAGCCAGCUGAUUCUCCCCGAUGGCCACUGAGUAAAGCCAUGACAGAGCCACUAAAGCGUUUUGGCUCACGUCUUCAUGCGUGGGGCCUUCCACUGCUGAGUGACCUGGUAGGCGUGGAUGAACACCACCAUGACCGCAACCAGACAGAUGAGAGGCACCAGCACCGCUGUGCACAGAGCUGCAUAGAUGUUUGGGAUGAAGCACCUAAAGGGAGAACCAACAACAUUGAAAGUGAUUCCCUGUUUUUCUUCUUCAGUUUAUGUAGAUAGAAAUAUGCAGAAUGUAUGUGGAAAAAAGAGGGGAUUAAAAGAGAGGAAGUUUGCAUCCAUAAAAAGGUAAAGCUCUAAAAUAUGGGAAACGGGUUAAGACUGCAUUUCUUCAACUUUCACAAAUACGUUUUAUCUGGUAAA
Molecule: long non-coding RNA, 544 nt
Organism: Gasterosteus aculeatus aculeatus (three-spined stickleback)
Lineage: Eukaryota; Metazoa; Chordata; Actinopteri; Perciformes; Gasterosteidae
Source: Ensembl